AACAGAUUAAAGUGAUCGACAUCUAACAGGUAAAAAACUUUAUUCAUUCUUCUUUUAUAAAAAGUAACAAAUUAAAGUGAUUGUUUGAUUUGUGUUUUUGAGAUUUUUAGGGUUCUUCUUUUUUGAUGUGUUAAAAUAAUCUAUAUGAGGUUUAUUAAGCCAAUUCAUAACACUGUAAUUUACAAAUAUAGUUAUACACUGUAAUAAGGUUU
Molecule: long non-coding RNA, 212 nt
Filed under: Lathyrus oleraceus (garden pea)
Lineage: Eukaryota; Viridiplantae; Streptophyta; Magnoliopsida; Fabales; Fabaceae
Description: Pisum sativum (pea) long non-coding RNA (PSAT_LNC019440)
Source: RNAcentral